Chelonoidis abingdonii (Abingdon island giant tortoise) is the source of this 106-nucleotide non-coding RNA. The record is from RefSeq and is a predicted model, not a curated record. Lineage: Eukaryota; Metazoa; Chordata; Testudines; Testudinidae.
ACUGUCAUAGCAACAGCAAGCUGGGCUCCUCUUCCCCACACGCGCUUAAUGUCCUGCCUGGACUAUCAUAGCACCGGGGAGGCUGCCUCCCCCUCAUUUUAGUCCA